GAUCCAAACCAUAUCAGGCAUGGAUUCCCCACUUCCUCCCUGGUGCAUUGCCUGAUCUUGGACAGAAGCUGUGCUUCUCCAUGGUUAGAGAAACACCUACCCACGGGCACUUCCUCCAGGCCUCCAGCUCUGAUGAGCCUCUGAUAAUAUCGUACUCUCCCCUGUCCUUUCAGACACAAAGGAGACAGCUCCUCUAGUCUCUGGUGCCUCAACGUCCCCUCUUGGGUCUUACAUGGUGCCCACAUCUCUGUAAAUAGUCCCUCCACUAAAUUUUCCUCUAUUCCCUAGCUGAGUGUCUCUUCUCUUCUCUGCUGAGUUCUUGACUGCAACAACAAUAAAAGGAGCAAAAGUCUCAGCUGGGCUACUAAUCUUUGGGUGUAAGUCCUCCCUCUCCACUGCAAAGGAUAUAAAAAAUUUAAACAAUAAAAAAUGGUGUUGGCCUUUCACAAGCUAGCAUUUGCCUAUAUCAGAGUGGGCAGAGGUUUUUUUUUUUUUGUCUUUUAGAUAGAGUUUAAGUUCACUGAUAAUGAUACCAUAAGACACAAGCUAAAUUUGUUAAGAUUUGCUGCUUUUUCUAAGAAAAGACCGUCUCAAAUGGUUUAAUCAGAUGUGUCUGGUCUGAUAAGGAUAAUUACACAGUGAGACUGUGGGCAUCACACAGAGAGAGAAAUAGAUCUGUAAAAACCGCUAAUGAAACUUGGACCUAAGGGGAUUUGAACUCACAACCUGACAGCUAGGAAUUAAAUAGUCCAGGAAAUUGGCAGUGGGCUAAACAAUGGAAUUCAGACGGGGCCCCUAGCAGGUGCUAAAUUAUUUCCCUGAGCAGGCUCAUAUUCGGCCGAUGCGCCGAAGACAGGGAAGGAACACACACGUAAAUCAGCUCUUGAUUUCUGACACGGUUUCACCCAGUUGAAGUGGAGAGAGAUGACACUCAGCUCACGGGGUGGUAUCCAAGACCCAUUGAACCUUGGAUGUCAGAGCUGGAAGGCAUCUCAGAAACCUCAGUCUCCACUCUCUCCAUUAUACAGAAAAAGAAAAGGCAUUUUUCUCAAUUACCAAGAAAAAUCCUAAGGCUAGCUUUUGCUGAACUAGAUUUGGAACAUCACAUGCUUCCAGAAUAAGCACAUCAGGGCUCUGUGCUCAGCGGGUUGUAAUGGCACCAGGAACACUUCUUCCCUCCUCCCUGAAGGUCUCUGUGACUUUCCCUUCACCUUGGCUCAUGGUGAGACCCUGCUUGACUAAUGUUCCAGGAUGGCUCAGCACUGCACCUGGAAAUGAGGGCAGAGUGAGGCCUGGUAAUCGCUGGACUUUCAUGAGAGGAGCCUGUCUGCAGUGAAAAUAUCAAGAAAGCAUUUGUUUUGUGCAGUCUUCAGGUUUAGAAAAUCUUUCCUCUUCUGCGAUGAUUUCUUUGGACACACUUAACAAUGAGUCAUGCAAAUUCAGUCACUGAUCUCUCCAACGUUUAUGGAGCUCAGAGAACUUCCCAGGAGUUGUUCUAGGUACUGAUGCUAUGCAGGUAAUGAGACAGACAGAGCCUUUCUCUCCUGAAGCUUCCAUUCCAGUGAGCAAGACAGACCAUAAUAAGAUGCGUUCCAUUUCAGAUGGGAAUACUUAUUUUGAACAAUGACAAAAGUGUGCCAAGAGGAAUUCUAGAGAAGUGGCCAGGAGCAAGGCUCUGUGUUCAAGUUAGUGUUUCUGAAUUUUAAGGGAUGUAAAUAUUUGGAAUUCAGAGAAGAAAAGGAAAUUCCCGGGAAUUCUCAAGGAUUCAUGAAAUCAUGGGUUAUUCGUAAAACAUUUUUAAUGUUUUUCAUAUUUUUUACUCACUUUUAUCCAUGUAUAACAGAUCAGAAAUAUUCAGUUAAGUUGCAUUUACAAAUAUCUGUAGCCUAUAGUGAACAGGCAAACACUGUAAAACACCAGCACGCAUUCAAACACAGUAAAACAUCAGUUUCUAGAAAACAUCCGAUUAGGAUUUCAUAUUAAGAUUAGCAGUGAUGCAUAGAAGCAUAGAACUGGGUGUCAAAAUUGCCAAUUUAGGGACUUACUUGCUUCCAAGGUGUGUUAUUUUUGAUACAUCCUUCCUGGAGUGUGUAUAAAGUAUACUAUGACUGCAAGUGUAUUAGCUUUUCUUUUAUCAGCAACAAUGACUCACUUUUGGCAGCAGACAGAGCCACCAGCAGACAUCAUAGUACGGCCACAACUACAAUCAAGACUGACCCAUGAAAUCAUACGGGUUCUACUUCUACGUGCUCCUGUCCCAGUGACCCCAAAUGUUAACUUUGAUGCUGGAUGCCCUUCUCUGUGUUCCCUGUGCUUGUGUAUUCCCGUGAUGUCCGUGGAUUCUUCUGAUCUAGACACAUCUCUGUGGAUAGUUAAGGUUUCAUUCACACUUGAGAACUGCCACACAUCUCCUCAAUUUCUCCACUGAUUAUUUCCAGGAUUGGAGAUUUGAAAAAGCGGAUAAGGUCCUUGAGAAAUGUCAGGAAGGGAUUCCUGCAUAGGAACAUGAACUCAGGCUGCCGGGAUCUGAGUAGCAGCUGUGACAUCUAUUAGAACACACCCGCUUUGUGAUGAUGGGCUUGUUACCUACCUCUGUGUGACUGUUCUCUCAUCCAUGAGAUGGCAUCAUAAUUAGCACAUGUGGCAUGAGACUGCAGUAGAUUAAAUUCUCUAAUGUAUAUAAAUGAGUUCUAACUGCAUUGGGCAUCCAGUUAGCGCUCAAAAAAAUGUUAGCUCCUAUUAAAAAGUUUGCAUUCGGGAGAGCCAAAUACCACAUGACGAUGACCAGGGAUGGAUCUCUGAAGACAGAGUGCUAUAUAUGACAUGUUUCUUAUGUGUUUCUAUGUGUGUGUGUGAUUAGUCCUUAUGCAAUUCAGUUAGUUAAUGGCUUAAGGGGAUCAUCAAGAACUUUUUUUUUCCCACUGGGGCACUGAUGGGCACCUUCAUUUACAGAUGACUGUGGAUUUAAAGGCAAUCCAGACUGCCAGAGACAGAGAAGCCAAAGUGCAUCUGGGAAGCAAAUGUGUGACUGCACAUCACUGGACAUCAAGUGUGGAUUAUGUCUUCACAUCAAACUGGAAGACUAGAGAAGCUGAACAUAUGAGUGAGCUCAGCUAAGAGACCAAGGAAAGAGGAGAAAAGAGGAACCAAGUGAUAGGUGAUUGAAAGAUAUGACUAGGCGGGAAGGCCAGUCUCGUGUCUCCCACUGCUUGUAUGAGAAGGGCAAAGAGAGAGGCUUGAAUGCUCUUUCCAUCCUUCCCCUGUAGCUUGUUUCCGGAGCUCAUCUUCAUCCUUCAACACUCAGCUUCAACGUCACCAUCUCCAGGAAGACUAUGCAGAUAUAUCCAGGUUUGCAUGAACAGAGUAAGUUCUCCAAGGUGUCUAUUGACCUACUCUGCACUGCUGUAAUUAUUUACAUCUCCCCUUUUGGUUGGAUGAAUAGUCCUUAAAAGGCAGGAACAGUCCCUCAGAGCUGAAUCUGUGAUCUGACACACGGUAGGUGCCUAAUAAAAAUAUACGUCAAAUGAAUAACAGAAUAAAAUUUAAAAUAUGCAUCUGUAAUUAAAGUCCAACAGAUAAAAUAAGUACUGUUUUUGUAAGUGCUUGCAAGAAACAGACACUAAUGCAACUCUGGCUUAGACCAAAGAAUAGUAAUUUGUUGGAUUAUAUGACUGGGAAAUUCAAAGGGUGGGUCUGGAUCCAAACAUGGUUGAAUCCAGGAUUGAAACUUUAUCAUCAGGACAUAUUCUUGGCUCUGCUUUUCUCUAUCUCAAUUUCCAAGCAGACUCUCAAAGAUGGUGAAAGGAAGCUGGGGGCUUAAGAGAAACCAGUUCCAGGUCCCCACUGGAAAGAUGGGUGGCUUCCCUAUAGCUCCAGCCAAUGUCCUGGGAUGGAAUUUCAUUGGCCAUGCUUGAGUCACAUGACCAUCCCUGACCAAUCACUGUGGCCAAGAGGUUGAGCAUUCUGAUUGGCUGGGGCUGGGUGACAUCACUUGCACCUGCUACUGUGGUGGAACCCAGAGGAGAUUAAAAGGGAGGAGGCUCCUCUGCACCCUCGGGUAUCACAGGAAUUUGGGAUGAUGACAGAGCAGACAUGCCAAGGUCAAGUCAUUUGAAUUUGGCUUGAAAACCAGAAAGAAUUUAGGCAUGUGGGGACACUCUGUGUGGGAAGGCAUGGCAGAAUGACCUGUUCUGUGCUUGAACAGCUGUAAUGGACUAAAUGUUUGGAAAUACAGGUUAGAUCCAGGUCCCAAAGGGCCCUGAUUGCUAGGCAGCAGGAUUCCAAUUUGCUCAGAAGGCAAUGGAAGGCCACUGAAGCUUUUCACUCGGAAGGAGGCAAGCCCAGAACCGCGCUUUAGAGGGAUUAAUCAAGCAGCUGUGUGUAAAAUACCCUGGGUAAAUGUCCGAAAAGCAUUUCAAUAGCCUAGGUAACAGAUAACGAAGCUCUCAAUGUGCUGAGAAGAGCACACACGUGACACUUGGAUUCAGGAACAGCUGAGGACAGAAUUGACACUCCUGAAAUAUAUUUUUCUACCCAGGCCAGCUCCUCCACUUCAGCCACUCUGCAUCUGAGGCUGGCAUUUAGUAGAUAAAGCAAAGACAUUUUCAAGGGCUAUCAUUACUGUGCAUUACACAAAGCUUUGUGUGUGUGUGUGUGUGUUUUCUCCCCUGGCUUCUGACUCGGAGGAGUGGCUUUUUUCUUUCUGUUGCAGAAAGAAGAGGGGUGGUGAGCAAAGAAAUGAGCUCCAUCUCUAUCUGUAGACUCUGACCCUGGCUGAUUCCUUUGUGCACUGUGACAAAUGGAGACACAGAAGAUGGAAAACCACAUUCCUAAUUUCUUUCCCUGACAGACACCUAUUAGCAUUCUGUAUUGCAAAGAAGACCUGAAAGACGUGGAUGCAAAUAUCAUCAAGGCAGCAUCUCUGCAUCCACAGGAAGACAAUUAAACACACACAAGUUGCCUACACCUCCAGCCUCAGACAAGCUCCAAGGGCUGCCUUGAAGUC
RNAcentral lists this long non-coding RNA (5005 nucleotides) under Homo sapiens (human). RNAcentral describes it as "HSALNT0371696". The record is from RNAcentral. Lineage: Eukaryota; Metazoa; Chordata; Mammalia; Primates; Hominidae.